This 658-nucleotide long non-coding RNA is filed under the name Triticum aestivum (bread wheat). RNAcentral's name for it is "long non-coding RNA (TAES_LNC014845)". The record is from RNAcentral. Lineage: Eukaryota; Viridiplantae; Streptophyta; Magnoliopsida; Poales; Poaceae.
CAAUGUCUAUGACAGUGGGUCAGUCUUCAGCCCUGAGGUUCUUGACCUCACCGAGGAAGACCUGAUGGACAAGUUUGCAUCUGGUGUUUCCAUGGUUGCCUCACUGUCCCUGGCGAUCUCAUACCCCACCAUGGCUGCUGCGCCUCACAUGUUCCUCAACGCAUACAAGAAUGUUCUUGCGGUUGCUUUGGAGACAGACUACUCAUAUGACCAUGCUGAUAAGAUCAAGGAGUACCUCAAGGUAAUUCUUGUUCUACAAUGUUUUGUUCCCACUAUGAAAUCUUAAUUUGAAACAUGCAUUAGAAGUUGUCUUGAACAAUGGCAUGAACUUUCUGUUUUAUUUAGUUUAGAGUCAUGUGUUGAGCUACUUAUCAGGAUGUCAUCUGUUCUUUUCUAACCAAUUCUGGAGCUUAAAAAGUGAUAUUUUUGGAUUGUGUUAGCCUCUAAUUGUCCCCUUAGUGUAAUCUUUCAGUGUGUGAGAUUUGUUUUUAGUAGUCAUCAUGGUAUAAUACAUGACAUGCCAUCUCUGAUCUGGCAGAUGUUUCAUCAUAUUCAUGAGCAACUUCAUCAUUGUUAGCUAAGCUAGUCAUGUUCACAUGGUUCUUCCUACCACAGCUUAAUUCUGAAUCAUGCAUUUCCAUGUCAGUUUUUGACACAU